This 440-nucleotide ribosomal RNA is filed under the name uncultured bacterium. RNAcentral's name for it is "partial 16S ribosomal RNA". It matches the Rfam family "Bacterial small subunit ribosomal RNA", at positions 338 to 795 of the family's 1533-position model. The record is from RNAcentral.
CCUACGGGGCGCAGCAGUGGGGAAUAUUGCACAAUGGGGGAAACCCUGAUGCAGCGACGCCGCGUGAGUGAAGAAGUAUUUCGGUAUGUAAAGCUCUGUCAGCAGGGAAGAAAAUGACGGUACCUGACCAAGAAGCCCCGGCUAACUACGUGCCAGCAGCCGCGGUAAUACGUAGGGGGCAAGCGUUAUCCGGAUUUCCUGGGGGUAAAGGGAGCGGAGACGGCAGGGCAAGUCUGGAGUGAAAGGCGGGGGCUCAACCCCCGGAGUGCUCUGGAAACUGCCAGGCUGGAGGGCAGGAGAGGUAAGUGGAAUUCCGAGUGUAGCGGUGAAAUGCGUAGAUAUUAGGAGGAACACCAGUGGCGAAGGCGGCUUACUGGACUGUAACUGACGUUGAGGCUCGAAAGCGUGGGGAGCAAACAGGAUUAGAUACCCUAGUAGUC